Molecule: ribosomal RNA, 378 nt
Filed under: uncultured bacterium
Lineage: Bacteria
Description: bacterial SSU rRNA
Rfam family: Bacterial small subunit ribosomal RNA
Source: RNAcentral
CACGUAGGGGGCGAGCGUUGUCCGGAUUUAUUGGGCGUAAAGAGCUCGUAGGCGGUUCGGUAAGUCGGGUGUGAAACCUCCAGGCUCAACCUGGAGACGCCACCUGAUACUGCUGUGACUAGAGUCCGGUAGGGGAGUGUGGAACUCCUGGUGUAGCGGUGAAAUGCGCAGAUAUCAGGAAGAACACCAGCGGCGAAGGCGGCACUCUGGGCCGGUACUGACGCUGAGGAGCGAAAGCGUGGGUAGCAAACAGGAUUAGAUACCCUGGUAGUCCACGCCGUAAACGUUGGGCACUAGGUGUGGGUCUCAACCAACGAGAUCCGUGCCGCAGCUAACGCAGUAAGUGCCCCGCCUGGGGAGUACGGCCGCAAGGCUAAA